GUGGGUAGUUUGACUGGGGCGGUCUCCUCCUAAAGAGUAACGGAGGAGCACGAAGGUUGGCUAAUCCUGGUCGGACAUCAGGAGGUUAGUGCAAUGGCAUAAGCCAGCUUGACUGCGAGCGUGACGGCGCGAGCAGGUGCGAAAGCAGGUCAUAGUGAUCCGGUGGUUCUGAAUGGAAGGGCCAUCGCUCAACGGAUAAAAGGUACUCCGGGGAUAACAGGCUGAUACCGCCCAAGAGUUCAUAUCGACGGCGGUGUUUGGCACCUCGAUGUCGGCUCAUCACAUCCUGGGGCUGAAGUAGGUCCCAAGGGUAUGGCUGUUCGCCAUUUAAAGUGGUACGCGAGCUGGGUUUAGAACGUCGUGAGACAGUUCGGUCCCUAUCUGCCGUGGGCGCUGGAGAACUGAGGGGGGCUGCUCCUAGUACGAGAGGACCGGAGUGGACGCAUCACUGGUGUUCGGGUUGUCAUGCCAAUGGCACUGCCCGGUAGCUAAAUGCGGAAGAGAUAAGUGCUGAAAGCAUCUAAGCACGAAACUUGCCCCGAGAUGAGUUCUCCCUGACUCCUUGAGAGUCCUGAAGGAACGU
This 583-nucleotide ribosomal RNA is filed under the name Escherichia coli. RNAcentral describes it as "partial 23S ribosomal RNA". It matches the Rfam family "Bacterial large subunit ribosomal RNA", at positions 2261 to 2838 of the family's 2925-position model. Lineage: Bacteria; Pseudomonadati; Pseudomonadota; Gammaproteobacteria; Enterobacterales; Enterobacteriaceae. The record is from RNAcentral.